GACGAACGCUGGCGGCGUGCUUAACACAUGCAAGUCGAACGGAAAGGCCCUGCUUUUGUGGGGUGCUCGAGUGGCGAACGGGUGAGUAACACGUGAGUAACCUGCCCUUGACUUUGGGAUAACUUCAGGAAACUGGGGCUAAUACCGGAUAGGAGCUCCUGCUGCAUGGUGGGGGUUGGAAAGUUUCGGCGGUUGGGGAUGGACUCGCGGCUUAUCAGCUUGUUGGUGGGGUAGUGGCUUACCAAGGCUUUGACGGGUAGCCGGCCUGAGAGGGUGACCGGCCACAUUGGGACUGAGAUACGGCCCAGACUCCUACGGGAGGCAGCAGUGGGGAAUAUUGCACAAUGGGCGGAAGCCUGAUGCAGCAACGCCGCGUGCGGGAUGACGGCCUUCGGGUUGUAAACCGCUUUCGCCUGUGACGAAGCGUGAGUGACGGUAAUGGGUAAAGAAGCACCGGCUAACUACGUGCCAGCAGCCGCGGUGAUACGUAGGGUGCGAGCGUUGUCCGGAUUUAUUGGGCGUAAAGGGCUCGUAGGUGGUUGAUCGCGUCGGAAGUGUAAUCUUGGGGCUUAACCCUGAGCGUGCUUUCGAUACGGGUUGACUUGAGGAAGGUAGGGGAGAAUGGAAUUCCUGGUGGAGCGGUGGAAUGCGCAGAUAUCAGGAGGAACACCAGUGGCGAAGGCGGUUCUCUGGGCCUUUCCUGACGCUGAGGAGCGAAAGCGUGGGGAGCGAACAGGCUUAGAUAACCCGGUAGUCCACCCUGUAAAACGGUGGGUCCUAGGUGUGGGGUCCAUUCCACGGGUUCCGUGCCGUAGCAAACGCUUUAAGUACCCCGCCUGGGGAGUACGGCCGCAAGGCUAAAACUCAAAGGAAUUGACGGGGCCCCGCACAAGCGGCGGAGCAUGCGGAUUAAUUCGAUGCAACGCGUAGAACCUUACCUGGGUUUGACAUGGAUCGGGAGUGCUCAGAGAUGGGUGUGCCUCUUUUGGGGUCGGUUCACAGGUGGUGCAUGGCUGUCGUCAGCUCGUGUCGUGAGAUGUUGGGUUAAGUCCCGCAACGAGCGCAACCCUUGUUCACUGUUGCCAGCACGUUAUGGUGGGGACUCAGUGGAGACCGCCGGGGUCAACUCGGAGGAAGGUGGGGAUGACGUCAAGUCAUCAUGCCCCUUAUGUCCAGGGCUUCACGCAUGCUACAAUGGCUGGUACAGAGAGUGGCGAGCCUGUGAGGGUGAGCGAAUCUCGGAAAGCCGGUCUCAGUUCGGAUUGGGGUCUGCAACUCGACCUCAUGAAGUCGGAGUCGCUAGUAAUCGCAGAUCAGCAACGCUGCGGUAAAGACGUUCCCGGG
RNAcentral lists this ribosomal RNA (1344 nucleotides) under uncultured bacterium. RNAcentral describes it as "16S ribosomal RNA". It matches the Rfam family "Bacterial small subunit ribosomal RNA", at positions 28 to 1378 of the family's 1533-position model. The record is from RNAcentral.